AUGAACGCUGGCGGCGUGCCUAAUACAUGCCAGUCGAGCGAACAGAUGAGGAGCUUGCUCCUCUGACGUUAGCGGCGGACGGGUGAGUAACACGUGGAUAACCUACCUAUAAGACUGUGAUAACUUCGGGAAACCGGAGCUAAUACCGUAUAAUAUAUUGAACCGCAUGGUUCAAUAGUGAAAGACGGUUUUGCUGUCACUUAUAGAUGGAUCCGCGCCGCAUUAGCUAGUUGGUAAGGUAACGGCUUACCAAGGCAACGAUGCGUAGCCGACCUGAGAGGGUGAUCGGCCACACUGGAACUGAGACACGGUCCAGACUCCUACGGGAGGCAGCAGUAGGGAAUCUUCCGCAAUGGGCGAAAGCCUGACGGAGCAACGCCGCGUGAGUGAUGAAGGUCUUCGGAUCGUAAAACUCUGUUAUUGGGGAAGAACAAAUGUGUAGGUAACUAUGCACGUCUUGACGGUACCUAAUCAGAAAGCCACGGCUAACUACGUG
Molecule: ribosomal RNA, 496 nt
Filed under: uncultured bacterium
Lineage: Bacteria
Description: partial 16S ribosomal RNA
Rfam family: Bacterial small subunit ribosomal RNA
Source: RNAcentral